GUCAAAGAUAGCAGUUAGUGAGUUGAUGAUUAGUUAACGGCUGCAACUAAUUGUAAGGAGCAUAUCAAUCAGUCAAUGAUACAAGAAAUUCCUUCUUUAUAUUCUCUCUCUCUUUCUUCCUCCUCCUUCUUCUUCUUCUACUGUUCCUCCUUAUUUGAUCCGUCUUCUUCUACCCUUUCUUCUAUUUCCUUCCCCUUUUCCUCUGUUUUCUGCUUGGUUGUGGCCUAGUCACAACAUUUGGUAUCAAAGCAAUAAGAUACUGUUUUGGGUGUCCUACUAUCGUGAUAAUUUACAAACUAGCAAGGAAUAACAAGAAAGCUAUGGCUGCUGAGAACCCAAGAUUACAAAAUCUGCAAGAGCAGUUGCAGUCACAGAAUCAAAAGAUUCAAGAAUUGAGUUUGACCUUGCACAAGGUUGAAGAAAGGAUGAAUCAGAUGAUGGAGAUGAUGAGAGCCUCGCAAGAAAACGAGAGGAGGCAAGCAGAAGUUGCUCGCUAUGGGGAGAAGUAUCCUGAUAAAAUACGUGUAAUUGUGGAAAAGGCCGGAAGGAGUGAUGUUCCUGAUAUUGAUAAGAAGAAGUUAGUAGCAUUCUUUCUUUCUUCAUACUCUCUCCAGUUUCACAUUCUCUUCCACAUUUUUUUUACACAAGGAAGUUGUUACACUUCAGGAACUUCUUAUUAUAUAUUCUGCAGUAAUAAGGCCUUCUCUAGUUGUAUAUUCAUUCAAUUUUCAGCACUGUAGUUAUUUCUUGGUAGCUGUGCGUAUUUUAGUUUUGGAAUGCAUAUGGCGUUGCCUAUUGUCAUAGGCUUGAGGUAGUAUUUUCACUGUAUUUGUAUGCUUUUGGUUAGUUAAGGUGCACCUUAGCAGCAGUGGUAAUGUUUUUUGGUGAGAUUUUUGCUGCCAUUAGGUUCACAACUGUUGGUGAUGGACAUAGAACUGGUAUUUGGGGAAUACUCUCUAGUAAUUCAGGACAUGGGAUUAUGGAGAUUUACCCUAAGCUAUGUAUUUUUUUCUUUUUUUUUUUUGGGGAUGUGGUGGUAAUGUUGAUUAACAUAAUGUAAAAGAUGUUGAUGAACUUGAAUAUAGUUCAGAUCAUUCAAGCAAAGCUAACAUGAUGAGGCACAUGUUUUAUGUGAGGUCUCUGUUAUGGACGCAUGUUAAAACUAACAUGUACACAAGAAACUUAGGUUUUUAAGUCUAGGUAGGUUUGCUAAGUGCUUUUUCAUUGGUUGAUUCAAAGAUAAGAUUUGGCUUCUACACAUGCAUGCCAAAUAUAAGGUGUACCAAUUUAAUAUUGGAUGUAAGUAGGAAGUUUCUUUGCUUGCACUUAUUUUUAUAUUAUAGGGAUCAUUGAGCGGCAUUGCCAAAUCAAUUUUUUUUUCAAAUCUACCGUACGCUAGCUUUCCUUUAAUUUUUCUGGUUAUUGUGAAUUUAGAUAUCUUGUGCCAGCUGAUUUGACCGUGGGCCAGUUUGUCUAUGUUGUCCGUAAAAGGAUUAAGCUUAGUGCUGAAAAGGCUAUAUUUGUGUUUGUGAAGAACACUUUACCUCCAACUGCUGCAUUGAUGUCUACAAUCUAUGAGGAGAACAAGGAUGAAGAUGGUUUUCUUUACAUGAGUUACAGUGGGGAGAAUACCUUUGGAUCCCAUCAAGAGGAGUAGAAUUUUUCUGUCUGAAUGAAACAGGAAGAUGUAUAUUCUAAGCUGUCCAUAGUAAUGUUCUAACCAGCUUAUAUAUCAUGCUCAUCUUAUUUUGGAUUUAUGCUAUUAAGGUACUGGAGGAAUUUUGAGUUGGAACUGAAUGGAUUCAUAUGAAUUCUAGUGAUCUGAUUUCCAAUUACCUUAUUUUUCUUUCAUUUGCAAAUAAUGUGGGAGUACCUUGUUUCAAUAUUUAUAUUUGUUCUGUCUAAAGAUGAUAAACUUAAAAUUUUUUGCUACAAUGAUUAAAAGUUAAAGAAAUAAAAUCUUAAACGACUUGAUGAACUUGUCUUGUUUAGAUAGAAUCGAUGCUUCUGUGCAUGGAAAGAUAGUUGACCCGAUGUUGUUUGAUUUGAGAUUGGCCUACCGUUUUAGGUGUCAAUUAGUUUAGCUUUUUAUGACAGCCCUCAUGGAGGAGAUAUUCAAUUAAGCUAGACAAAAGAAGGAAAAGAGCACUAAUGGUCCAAAUAAAAUACGAUGCAACACUUAAAACUUGAUUAACAGGCCAAAACUGUCCCAAGAAAAGGAUAGUGAUGUCAAGAACUGCAACAAGUUUUAUUGUGUGAUCAUUUAGGCGAGCCCUUUUUCUGGCAUUUAUUUUUGACCCAUUUGAAGCUGGUAGAUGCUCCAGUCUUGAUCCUCUGAGCUCCCACCAUUGCAGCUGCUUUGGCUUUAUUCAAUCCUGAUUUGCCAUCUGACUUCUUAUUAUUGCUGGUGUCUUUCUUAUUGGUAGUGUCCUCUUCUGCCAUGGCACCAAUACCCCCUGCACCCCACUGAUCUGCCCAGCUUGGUGGCUCGCUUUCCAUUGAUUCUUGCUUUUGUUCAAUAUAACCCCAAAAAUCCAGGAAGAACAAAUUAUCAGGAACCCAUUACAAUUGUGCAGCAAAUUAACUUGUGGAACCAAAGAAUGUAUGGAAAAUUUGGAAGAAGCAAGUCCUUAGCACUAGUUUCAGCAAUCUUAUUGUAUGCCAUGAAAAGAUGAAAAAUUUUCGUUAUUAUUUGUGUAUAAGAAAGAGAGCAAAUAAUAAAAUCUAGAUCUAUAGCAGUGCAAAGAUAAAGAAGUCAAACAAAGCAAGAAAAAGAUCCAAGCAACAUACUCAAACAUAAUCAAAGAGCAGAUCAAGAAAGAGAAUACCUGGUGAUAAUAGGGCAACAGAGGCUUAGAUUGAGAAACUGAGAAUAGAGGAGUUGAUAGAAAUGAUUAAGUGCUUAAGGACCAAUAACUAUAAGCCGAAAAAAAAAAAGAAAAGAGCCACCUGUAGAUGGGCUGUCUUUACUCAAUCAUAUACUUUUUUAAAAGGAGACUUGCCAACUCACUUGUUUCUCCCUUGUUAAGCAAUCCAUGUUUGGAAUCUCCCCUUUUUAAUUCUCUUCCUAGUUAUGUUCACCCCUUUCUUUUCCAUUUGUAUAAUAUCUUAG
This 3112-nucleotide unclassified non-coding RNA is filed under the name Hevea brasiliensis (rubber tree). Lineage: Eukaryota; Viridiplantae; Streptophyta; Magnoliopsida; Malpighiales; Euphorbiaceae. The record is from RNAcentral.